GAGAGGGAAACUUAAAGGUUAAGUGUUAGUCUGUCGCACUAAAAGUUGCGGGUUCAAAUCCCGUUCCUCUCG
This 72-nucleotide transfer RNA is filed under the name Kappaphycus alvarezii. Its description in RNAcentral is "tRNA-Asp". It matches the Rfam family "tRNA". Rfam says of the family: Transfer RNA (tRNA) molecules are approximately 80 nucleotides in length. Lineage: Eukaryota; Rhodophyta; Florideophyceae; Gigartinales; Solieriaceae. RNAcentral also lists the same sequence under 1 other name. The record is from RNAcentral.